UAAUAAUAGUGAAAACUUCAAAUAUUCUCAUUGUGCUUUCAUUUUUUUUUCACUAUAGUACUCUAUGAUUUAAAGUGUAUCAACUUAGUACCUAUGGUUUCACAUUUUCUCACUUUAGUAUCUUAUGGUUUAAAGUGAGAAUCAAGUUAGUACCCUAUGAUUUCGCACUUUCUCACUUUAAUACCCUGUGGUUUAAUAUUUCAUUAAGAGAAAAAUAAAACCACAGAGUACUAAUCUGAUACAAAAAUAAAAUCACAUGGUACUAACUUGAUACAAAAAUAAAAUCACAGAAUAUUAAUUUGACACACUUUAAACCACAGAAUACUAAAAUAAAAAAGUGCGAAAUUAUAUGGUACUAAUUUGAUACACUUUAAUCUAUAGAAUAUUAAAAUGAAAAAGUACGAAACCAUUAGAGGAGUUUUUGAAAUUUUUCCUUAAAAAUAAAUUGAAGGGCAUUCACAAGAACAUUUAUAAAA
Molecule: long non-coding RNA, 476 nt
Filed under: Ananas comosus (pineapple)
Lineage: Eukaryota; Viridiplantae; Streptophyta; Magnoliopsida; Poales; Bromeliaceae
Description: long non-coding RNA (ACOM_LNC025226)
Source: RNAcentral